RNAcentral lists this long non-coding RNA (759 nucleotides) under Equus caballus (horse). RNAcentral describes it as "lncRNA (ENSECAG00000033609.3)". The record is from RNAcentral. Lineage: Eukaryota; Metazoa; Chordata; Mammalia; Perissodactyla; Equidae.
UUUUGGAGACCAGCGAUUAGACUGGAGAGGCUGACAGAUAGGAUAAUGGAAAGUGGGUGGUGGGAGAAAAAGUUGGAAAGUUGAUUUGGGGCAAGAUGAAGAAACUUGAAUGCCACGUCAAAAACCUUUAACAUAAUCUCCUAGUAACGGGGCGCUAACAGCGGUCUUCCAGCUGAAGGGCACCGUCCUCGGAUCUGUAUUUGGAAAGACAACUCUGGUCGCAGUGUGAGAUGUGGAGGAGAGGUGAGCAGUCGUGGACUCUAUUCAACCCAUGGAAAUAUCUCCUGAGAAUACAAGUCACUGGUCCACUUCUGACCCUCUAGUGGCUAGGAUGCGCAGAUGGAAGCUGAGAUUCCCAGGGCUAAUCCAAAAGAGAUCUGCUUCAUUUUUCGGUGGAGAAGCUCUAGAACAGUGUUGACCAAUAGAACUUCUGCUCUGACGGACACAUGCUGUAUCUGUGUUGUUCAAUACACAGGCACUAGCCACACGACCUUUGAAAGUAAAAUGAGGUCAUCUGAAUGGGCCCUAAUCCAACGUGACUGGUGUCCCUACAAGAAGAGGACAUUAGGACAUAGGCACACAGAGGGGAAGACCAUAUGGAAACACGUGGAGAAGAUGGCCAUCCACGAGACACGGAGAGAGGCCUCAGAAGAAACCAACCCUGCUGACAUCGUGCUCUUGGACUUCUAGCCUCCAGAGUUGUGAGAAAAUAAAUUUCUGUUGUUUAAACCACCCAAUGUGUGGCAUUUGUUACUGCUG